UGCAGUUCCAAUAGUAACAAUUGCUGCUGGUGGUGACACAAAAUAAAUUUUGAAGAGCAUCCCAGUAUGAUCAGAAUUUAUGCUUAAUUGUGUAAACUGGCUGACAAGUUAGCUUUUUGAAAAAUAAUUCCUAACAGUUUCACAUCUUGCAUAUUGCUUUGUGAAAUAAGGACAAAUUUCAAAACCACCCUCAAAUCCUUUUACCCUUUAUGUGUGGGGUAUAAGUACUAGCAAAUGCUUCUGCAUAGCCUCACAAAGCAUAUUGCAUGCUUUGUAGGGCUCUGGGGAGCAUUUUGCUCAUGAACUAAGUAUGUUUUAGUAAGAGUUGGUUCUUUCUGCAUAUUACAGGUAACAGAUUUCAAAGUGCUACUGCUCGACCUCAUGUGAAAGUUAGAUUCACUUUUAUUAUGUAAUGUCAUAAACCGGGCCAGGCUUUUCAUUAUAGGGGACCAAAUUAGUGGCAGCAUCAUGAUGAAAAGGUUUCUGGCAAGAGCUCAAAGUGCAUAAUUUGUCUAGAAAAUGUUUAUCUUGUUCACACUUUGAGUUCUACGGGGGGUUGGGUUUUGUUUGUUGGUUUGUUUGUUUUACAGAAUCUCAUUUUUGUUUACCAGUAAUACAGUUUCCAGCUACGGUAUUUGCCAGAAAGAAGUACCAGCAAUGUUUGACUAAAUUUUGGUGGUUUAUUUUCUCAUGUACCUGGGAAAUGAAGAAUGGUCCAGCGGUUAAGAUCCUGAGUAGUUAGUUUAUAAACUUUCAAGCA
Pezoporus occidentalis (night parrot) is the source of this 760-nucleotide long non-coding RNA. RefSeq lists it as uncharacterized. The record is from RefSeq and is a predicted model, not a curated record. NCBI's taxonomy places the organism in Eukaryota, Metazoa, Chordata, Aves, Psittaciformes, Psittacidae. The transcript has 2 exons.